RNAcentral lists this ribosomal RNA (742 nucleotides) under Salmonella enterica. RNAcentral describes it as "partial 23S ribosomal RNA". It matches the Rfam family "Bacterial large subunit ribosomal RNA", at positions 2061 to 2802 of the family's 2925-position model. The record is from RNAcentral. RNAcentral also lists the same sequence under 1 other name. Lineage: Bacteria; Pseudomonadati; Pseudomonadota; Gammaproteobacteria; Enterobacterales; Enterobacteriaceae.
GCAGUGUACCCGCGGCAAGACGGAAAGACCCCGUGAACCUUUACUAUAGCUUGACACUGAACAUUGAGCCUUGAUGUGUAGGAUAGGUGGGAGGCUUUGAAGCGUGGACGCCAGUCUGCGUGGAGCCGACCUUGAAAUACCACCCUUUAAUGUUUGAUGUUCUAACGUGGACCCGUUACCCGGGUUGCGGACAGUGUCUGGUGGGUAGUUUGACUGGGGCGGUCUCCUCCUAAAGAGUAACGGAGGAGCACGAAGGUUGGCUAAUCCUGGUCGGACAUCAGGAGGUUAGUGCAAUGGCAUAAGCCAGCUUGACUGCGAGCGUGACGGCGCGAGCAGGUGCGAAAGCAGGUCAUAGUGAUCCGGUGGUUCUGAAUGGAAGGGCCAUCGCUCAACGGAUAAAAGGUACUCCGGGGAUAACAGGCUGAUACCGCCCAAGAGUUCAUAUCGACGGCGGUGUUUGGCACCUCGAUGUCGGCUCAUCACAUCCUGGGGCUGAAGUAGGUCCCAAGGGUAUGGCUGUUCGCCAUUUAAAGUGGUACGCGAGCUGGGUUUAGAACGUCGUGAGACAGUUCGGUCCCUAUCUGCCGUGGGCGCUGGAGAACUGAGGGGGGCUGCUCCUAGUACGAGAGGACCGGAGUGGACGCAUCACUGGUGUUCGGGUUGUCAUGCCAAUGGCACUGCCCGGUAGCUAAAUGCGGAAGAGAUAAGUGCUGAAAGCAUCUAAGCACGAAACUUGCCCCGA